RNAcentral lists this long non-coding RNA (4524 nucleotides) under Sus scrofa (pig). RNAcentral describes it as "lncRNA (ENSSSCG00055015905.1)". Lineage: Eukaryota; Metazoa; Chordata; Mammalia; Artiodactyla; Suidae. The record is from RNAcentral.
CCCAAGGCUGCCUACUAGGACAGUUAUGCAAGUGGUUAAUUGGUGUAGCAGAGCUGGUCGCCAGCUUGGAGAUCUACAGGUAAAGCUCCCAGGUGGUCCAGGAGAUUAAAACCUACUGGGUCCGGGACCCUAUGAGUUGGAAGCAUGGUGCAUAAAUUGGCCCUUCGUGCUCAACUGGAGGUAUCUGUAUUUAUGGUAAAAUCUUGUAGGACCACUAUCAUCUGUUAAGUCUCCUGGAAGUUUUCCAUGAAAGGAAUGAAAACAUCAAAGGAACUAUUAGUUUGGGUUACUGGAAAAAAUUUAAACUAGUUCAAACCAAAAAAAGGAAAGGUGACCAGUUUCAUAGUUAACAUGUUUUCUGCCCCUAAGAAACCACAGGCUGGAAUGAUUAGAAGUACAAGGCCCCAGGAGUUCCCUGGUGGCACAGCAGGUUAAGGAUCCAGUGUCAUCCCUACAGCAGCUUGUGGAUGCUGAGUUCCAUCCCUGGCCCAGGAACUUUCACAUGCUGCAGGCUCAGCCCCCCAAAAAAGUGCAGGGCCCUGGAGCCACUGUGUUAUUCCACCACUUCACUGUGUUGGAGCUCUAGCAAGUUUCUGAACUCUAAUGCACCUGCUUUUCCUCACUGUAAAAUAGAGGCAAUAAGCCUGUCUCAUGGGUUAUCUCAGAGAUUAAGUCAAUAAUUGCAAAGCAUUUAGAACCUCUCGAUAGUAUUAAUAACUGCAGAUUAAAUCUGCCUUGGAAGGCAAUCAGAAGAGUUCAAUUCAGCAAACAUUUGAUGAAGACCUGCUUUAAAACAUUUGAUAAGCUCAGUGAGAAAUCAUGACCUCCAGGACUUUAUAGUCCAGUGAGAGAAAACCAGCACUUCAUGAGUGUCCACAGAGCCAGGCUCUGUGCCUGGGGUGUCUACACAUCUUCUCAUCCUCACAAGAACAUGUGAGCUAUUGCUCUGUCCUUGAUGCCUUAUGUCAUUUAUUUAUUUUUUUAUAAAUGAGGAAACUAGUUUAGAAACUAAAGAAUUUGUCCAAAGUCACCUAACUAGGUAGUAUGGAAAUCAGAAUUGGCUGACACAAAAAUCUAGUUAAUCCUAUUGUUUUCUUACCCUUGCCAGUUUGCAGAGAUGUCAACUUCUAUAAAAGAAGGCAAAAUGAAAAGCAUAGAGGAAAGAAAAAAGAGUUCAGACUUGGCUGAGUAGAGAUCAAUAAAGGUUUUAGAGGGAAAGUGGUGUUUAAGGUUGAUCCUUGGAGGAUGGAAGCAUUUUAAUAGACUUUGGGGCAAGAGAACAAUCUAAGUAGAAGUCCGUGUGACAGUUACCUGUGGUUUGGAACACUCCCACACCUGCCCAUCAAGUUCUAAAGACGUGCCUCCAACCCGCAGGGUUACUGUGGGGUUUAUUAUAUGGUAUAAUGUGAUCAGGUGGUCCAGGCAGAGGCCUUUUCUGGGACUGGAAGUCAGGAAGAGUUUCUCUGUGCCUGGCUGAAGCUGUAGGAAACCUUGGGAAUUGCCUUCUGCCAUCUCCUGCUCUGUGGGCUGGUGACGAGGAAUGAGACAGGGUCCUCAGGGCAUCUGGUUCCCGGGUCUAGGAUUUGUCAAGUGCUGCCAUGUUCCUGUACUUGGCUAGCCUGGGACGCGCCGGAAUGCUGAUGGAGAAUCCCCUUUUCUGCUUCAUGUAGUUUGAUUUAGGUUUUUGUGACCUGCAAGCAAAUGUGAUUUAAGCCAUAUAAAAAGGAAUGUACUUGACUUUUAAAGAUAGAUCAUUUUUAUAGAUUAUGUUAACCCAAACAAUUCUUGUUCACUCAAGAUUUUUAAAGUCCAAGAAAAACAAAAAGAAACUAAAAGUCACCUGUACUAACCCUUGAUAAGUAAAUUAGUUUAUCCUUGAGUUAGGUGAUGAUGACAGACAGGCAGAGAGACAUGCAGGAAAUUCAGGUCUAAAGGUUGGUCUUUGUAGCAGAGAUGACAGUUGGUUUCAUUUGUUAAGCAGUUACUGGCACCGUCCUGUGCUGGCCACUGUGCUGGGUGAUAAAAGUUAUAAAAAUGAACAAAUCCUCGGCUCCACCCUCAAGGAGCCUGAACACUACUGACAGGCAGACAAGUGAAGAGACAAUGACACAGUGCUGUGACAGCGAGGGGCACAGAAGGGGACAUAAGCGGGACCAGAGUUAGGGAAGCACCUCUGGGCUUAGUCUCACUAUGCUCACUGGGAAUGACGUGGGCACCGGGUGGGGAGGGGAGGAUGUGCGUUGGGCAGAAGGGGCAAAGUGUGGAAAGCCUGGCACCUUUGGGGACGGUAAUGCCAUGGAGCUGGAGUGUAGGGCAGUUAGCAAUGGUCAAGAGGAGAGUGGAGAGACAAGAAGGGGCCAGGUCACUAAGGAUCUUGUACCUGUUGUAAUAAAAGAUGGGAUUUUAUUUUUUCCCCAUAGGAUUUUAGCUCCUAGAGAUCUCUUGCAUCCUAGAAGGGAUGACAACAGUUCAGAGUCCAGGAGAGAAUCUGCAGUGAAGCAUAUACAUGAGGAGUGAGAAGAACUAACAAAGUAGGAAAGAAUCGUAGAAGCCAAGGGGAGCAUGUCAGUCAGGAGUUAAUGAACAUUGAGAAGAGAACAGAUGGAGAAAGGUGAGACCUUGGGAAAGGUUCGCCUUAUUUCCAGCCCAUGCAGAUGUGAUCGUUGAGUCAGGGCACCUGAGUUGACGGACCUGUUUUGAAGGCUGGUUCUAUCCCUUUCAAGGUGCAUUUCAGGCAAGGGAAUUAACGUCUGAGCUUCAGUCUCAAGAGCUGUAAACUGGGGAUGUAAUAGCCAUGCUCGUGCAGGUGGUGUGAUGCGCACUGAAUACUUGGCACAGAGCCAAGCACACACAGGACAUUUCCUAGUGACUUGGUGGCGUUGAUGUUGAUGGCCUAGACGGCUUCAUAAAUGCAGGCCUCUCAAUAAAAGGAGGUGGCAGGAUUCUAAGUACCUCUGGGAGAAGGUAGUUGACUUGAAACACAGUAAGAAUUUUUAAUUCCCCGCAACAAUGAUAAAUAUUAAAAAAAAAUGCAGUGAGUUCUGGCAAAGAAAAACAAGAGAAAGAAAAAAAAAAGCAACGUCCAGUGUGUAGCAUAGCUCAUGUUCAUAAAACAUAAAUCUUGUCCAUUUUCCCCUGAUGCUGCCAGUGGGAGUCCCAACUGUGGAUUCUUUUUUUGUUUUGUUUUUCCUGCAAUUUUUCUUUUUUUUUAAGUUGAAUAAAAGAUUCCUUAAAUUCCUUAGUGCUUUACAAUUUUCAAAUGCUUCACACACAAUUUCGUGUGAUCUCCUGAUACUCCUUCUUCUCUCCCACCCCUAGGUUGCCCUCCUCACUUUCCCUCUGCCCUGGUAGCUGCUAGUUUGUUCUAUCUGUGAGUCUACUUCUUCUCUGGUUUAUUCACUAGUUUGUUGGAUUUUUUAGUUUCCGCAUAUAAGUGACAUCCAUUGGUGGAUACCUGACUGAAGAAUCUUGGGGGGACUACAUUGCAAGUUUUAUGCUAUUUGCUAAAUAUUCAUACUUUCAAGGUGCUUAUAAAUACUGAUUUUCAUUUACAUUACUCCCUUGUUCAUUUAAAUUACCCCCUAAUUUAGGAGUUCCUGUUGUGGCUUAGCAGGUUACAAAUCUGACUCAGAACCAUAAGGAUGGGGGUGACAUCCCUGGCCUCGCUCAGUGGGUUGAGGAUCCUGUAUUGCCAUGAGCUGUGGUGUAGGUCGAAGAUGCGGCUCGGAUCCUGUAUUGCUGUGGCUGUGGUAUAAGCUGGCAGCUGCAGCUCCGAUUCAUUCCCCUAUAGGAACUUCCAUAUGCCAAAGGUGCGGCCCUUAAAAAAAUAGAUAAAAUAAAAUAAAAUAACCCCCUAAUUUAGAAACUAGCUGCUUGUUAGGACAGCUCUUACCCUUGUGAUUUCAGUUCUAAAAUCGUUUCUUGUUUUUUUUUUUUGUCUUUUUAGGGCCACACCUACAGUAUAUGGUGGUUCCCAGACUAGAGGUCUAAUCAGAGCUGUAGGUGCCGGCUUACGACACAGCCACAGCACUGUGGUAUCCAAGCCGCAUUGGUGACCUACACCACAGCUCACGACAACACCGGAUCCUUAACCCACUGAGCAAGUUCUAUCCCUGGCCGUACUUAGCAGGUCAAGAUCUGGAGUUGCAUUAAGCUGUGGUGUAGGUCACAGACAUGGCUCGGAUCCAGUGUUGCUGUGAUUCUGGCAUAGGCCAGCAGCUGCAGCUCCAAUGUGACCCCUAGCCCGGGAAAUUCCAUAUGCUGCAAGCGCAGCCCUAAAGAGCAAAAAAAAAAAAAAAAAAACAACAAAUAACCAAUGUUCUCUCUCUACUCUGAUGGAAAUCCUCCAGUAAGUCCUUGACAUGGCCUUUGACAUGCAUCUUAAUGUGAAUAGUAAGGUGCCACUGUCUGCAGAAAAUGUGAAGCCCUUCACAGGCUGGCUCCUCCCAUCCCCCAGUGUGUCCCCACACAGGCUCUAAGCUCCCAUCUCCCUGGAAAACGGCCAUAAAAAGGAAAAAAAAAAAA